GACGAACGCUGGCGGCGUGCUUAACACAUGCAAGUCGAACGAUGAACCCGGAGCUUGCUCCGGUGGAUUAGUGGCGAACGGGUGAGUAACACGUGAGUAACCUGCCCUUGACUCUGGGAUAACUGCGGGAAACUGUAGCUAAUACCGGAUACGACCCUCGGCGGCAUCGCCAGGGGGUGGAAAGAAUUUCGGUCAAGGAUGGACUCGCGGCCUAUCAGCUAGUUGGUGAGGUAACGGCUCACCAAGGCGACGACGGGUAGCCGGCCUGAGAGGGGGUCCGGCGACACUGGGACUUAGACACGGCCCAGACUCCUGCGGGAGGAAGCAGGGAGGAAUAUUGCACAAUGGGCGCAAGCCUGAUGCAGCGACGCCGAGUGAGGGAUGACGGCCUUCGGGUUGUAAACCUCUUUUAGUAGUGAAGAAGCGAAAGUGACGGUACCUGCAGAAAAGGCACCGGCUAACUACGUGCCAGCCGCCGCCGUAA
Molecule: ribosomal RNA, 484 nt
Filed under: uncultured bacterium
Lineage: Bacteria
Description: partial 16S ribosomal RNA
Rfam family: Bacterial small subunit ribosomal RNA
Source: RNAcentral